This 496-nucleotide ribosomal RNA is filed under the name uncultured bacterium. Its description in RNAcentral is "partial 16S ribosomal RNA". It matches the Rfam family "Bacterial small subunit ribosomal RNA", at positions 28 to 506 of the family's 1533-position model. The record is from RNAcentral.
GAUGAACGCUGGCGGCGUGCCUAAUACAUGCAAGUCGAGCGAACGGACGAGAAGCUUGCUUCUCUGAUGUUAGCGGCGGACGGGUGAGUAACACGUGGAUAACCUACCUAUAAGACUGGGAUAACUUCGGGAAACCGGAGCUAAUACCGGAUAAUAUUUUGAACCGCAUGGUUCAAAAGUGGAAGACGGUCUUGCUGUCACUUAUAGAUGGAUCCGCGCUGCAUUAGCUAGUUGGUAAGGUAACGGCUUACCAAGGCAACGAUGCAUAGCCGACCUGAGAGGGGGAUCGGCCACACUGGAACUGAGACACGGUCCAGACUCCGACGGGAGGCAGAAGUAGGGAAUCUUCCGCAAUGGGCGAAAGCCUGACGGAGCAACGCCGCGUGAGUGAUGAAGGUCUUCGGAUCGUAAAACUCUGUUAUUAGGGAAGAACAGAUGUGUAAGUAACUGUGCACAUCUUGACGGUACCUAAUCAGAAAGCCACGGCGAACUACGU